UAUUCAGCCACCUUGAACUGAGAAUCGUCCAGAUCUACGGAGGCAGCAGUGGGGAUUUGACAAUGGGGCAACCUGAUCCAGCAUUCGCGUGAGGUGAAGAAGCUCGGUGUAAGCUCUUUUGUCGGAGCGAACGGUGUGGUGAAUAUCACGACUACUGACGGUACCGGAGAUAAGCACGGCUAACUACGUGCCAGCAGCCGCGGUAAUACGUAGGGUGCGAGCGUUAAUCGGAAUUACUGGGCGUAAAGCGUGCGCAGGCGGUUUUGUAAGCCAGUCGUGAAAUCCCCGGGCUUAACCUGGGAAUGGCGAUUGGGACUGCAAGGCUUGAGUAUGGCAGAGGAGACUGGAAUUCCUGGUGUAGCAGUGAAAUGCGUAGAUAUCAGGAGGAAUACCGAUGGCGAAGGCAGGUCUCUGGGCUGAUACUGACGCUCAUGCACGAAAGCGUGGGGAGCAAACAGGAUUAGAUACCCUGGUAGUCCACGCCCUAAACGAUGUCGACUGGUUGUUGGGGGUUUGACACCUUCAGUAACGAAGCUAACGCGUGAAGUCGACCGCCUGGGGAGUACGGCCGCAAGGUUAAAACUCAAAGGAAUUGACGGGGACCCGCACAAGCGGUGGAUUAUGUGGAUUAAUUCGAUGCAACGCGAAAAACCUUACCUACCC
Molecule: ribosomal RNA, 663 nt
Filed under: uncultured bacterium
Lineage: Bacteria
Description: bacterial SSU rRNA
Rfam family: Bacterial small subunit ribosomal RNA
Source: RNAcentral